RNAcentral lists this ribosomal RNA (515 nucleotides) under uncultured bacterium. RNAcentral describes it as "partial 16S ribosomal RNA". It matches the Rfam family "Bacterial small subunit ribosomal RNA", at positions 28 to 523 of the family's 1533-position model. The record is from RNAcentral.
GAUGAACGCUGGCGGCGUGCCUAAUACAUGCAAGUCGAGCGAAUGGAUUAAGAGCUUGCUCUUAUGAAGUUAGCGGCGGACGGGUGAGUAACACGUGGGUAACCUGCCCAUAAGACUGGGAUAACUCCGGGAAACCGGGGCUAAUACCGGAUAACAUUUUGAACCGCAUGGUUCGAAAUUGAAAGGCGGCUUCGGCUGUCACUUAUGGAUGGACCCGCGUCGCAUUAGCUAGUUGGUGAGGUAACGGCUCACCAAGGCAACGAUGCGUAGCCGAGCUGAGAGGGGGCUCGGCCAAACUGGGACUGGGACAGGGCCCAGACUCCUACGGGAGGCAGCAGUAGGGAAUCUUCCGCAAUGGACGAAAGUCUGACGGAGCAACGCCGCGUGAGUGAUGAAGGCUUUCGGGUCGUAAAACUCUGUUGUUAGGGAAGAACAAGUGCUAGUUGGAUAAGCUGGCACCUUGACGGUACCUAACCAGAAAGCCACGGCUAACUACGUGCCAGCAGCCGCAGUAA